AGCGGCAGGCUAACACAUGCAGUCGAGGGGCGAGCACGGGAGUAGCAAUACUUGGUGGCGACCGGCGCACGGGUGAGUAACGCGUAUGCAACCUACCUAUCAGGAGGGGAAUAACCCGGCGAAAGUCGGACUAAUACCGCAUAAAACAGGGGCACCGCAUGGUGAUAUUUGUUAAAGAAAUUCGCUGAUAGAUGGGCAUGCGUUCCAUCAGGUAGUUGGUGAGGUAACGGCUCACCAAGCCGACGAUGGAUAGGGGAACUGAGAGGUUGGUCCCCCACACUGGUACUGAGACACGGACCAGACUCCUACGGGAGGCAGCAGUGAGGAAUAUUGGUCAAUGGGCGGGAGCCUGAACCAGCCAAGUCGCGUGAAGGAAGAAGGAUCUAUGGUUCGUAAACUUCUUUUGCAGGGGAAUAAAGUGCAGGACGUGUCCUGUUUUGUAUGUACCCUGAGAAUAAGGAUCGGCUAACUCCGUGCCAGCAGCGGC
Molecule: ribosomal RNA, 487 nt
Filed under: uncultured bacterium
Lineage: Bacteria
Description: bacterial SSU rRNA
Rfam family: Bacterial small subunit ribosomal RNA
Source: RNAcentral